GUUUAAUGACGCAUUGUCAUGAGAGAGGAGUGACAGAUGACUGUUGAUGUUUGAAGUGCACAGAGCAGAGGCUGAUUGGCUCACUGAAGGAGUUCAUGAAAUGAUUGGACCAGACUGAUGACAACAGAAAUGAGUUUUAUAGCGCGGGAAAGCAGAAGAGAUGCAAACAAUAGACCAGUCGCCCAGACAUGAAUACAGCAGACUGAACACUGGAGCAUCCUUCAUGAAGUGAGGACAGAAAGAAAACCUCACAUCAUUCCUUCACCUCCAGAACAGGGAAGUAGAAGUUUCUGUAAUCAAUAAAGGGGAAAUCUGCUGUUGCUGUUAAAGGAACUUCAGUCAUAUCAGCGCUAUAACAGCAGCUACUCAGAGACUAAAACCGG
This is a long non-coding RNA of Oreochromis aureus, 383 nucleotides long. The record is from Ensembl. NCBI's taxonomy places the organism in Eukaryota, Metazoa, Chordata, Actinopteri, Cichliformes, Cichlidae.